This is a long non-coding RNA of Oreochromis niloticus (Nile tilapia), 304 nucleotides long. RefSeq lists it as uncharacterized. The record is from RefSeq and is a predicted model, not a curated record. Lineage: Eukaryota; Metazoa; Chordata; Actinopteri; Cichliformes; Cichlidae. The transcript is spliced from 3 exons.
CAGGCGGGAGAAUCUCACUCACGAGCAGUACGUCUUUUUCUACCUCGACGUGUUUGCUGACAGCCUGAAAUCCGAACACCGCCAGCCGUGGCGCCGCGGGGACCGUGAGGACGCCAUUGCCAAGGAAGCCUUCCAGAGUGUGAAGAUCCUGACGUACGAGAGCCUCAGAACCCCGAGUACCAGGAGUUUGUCCAGAACCUCAAGGCAGACGCCAAGGACAUGUUCAACUACACCAUAGAGGACUCACUGAUGAACAUCAUUGCUGGAGGCUUUUAUGACGGCCUGAUGCUCUACGCUCACGCUU